Molecule: long non-coding RNA, 2108 nt
Organism: Neofelis nebulosa (Clouded leopard)
Lineage: Eukaryota; Metazoa; Chordata; Mammalia; Carnivora; Felidae
Exons: 2
Source: RefSeq, a predicted model, not a curated record
GGCAAGGGGUGACGUGACUGAAGUGGCGCCGCGAGAGGGCACAGGCGGAAGGGGCGUGGCCAAUGCGGGUGAGGGGCGGGGCUAGGCGGCCUGUAGUUUAGACUGGGCGAGGCCUCCGAGGAUAGCGCGGGUGGAGCCAGACUAAAACAACAAUGACAAAAGCGAAUUUCCUCCAGUGUCCUUGAUGUCAAAGUCUGCAAUUCUACCAUGUUUUGAGCUGGACUGGUAGCUCAGAUUGGACUCAGAUGAGGACUGUGGAUUUCAUUGUGGUUUUUUUUUUUUAACAUUUUUUAUUUAAUUUUAACUUAAUCAUGCAAGGAAAUGUACACUUUUUGCUAAACAGUGAUAAUCAUAUAACCACCACCAUAAUCAAGAUGCAGAAUAAUUCCGUUCACCCCCCAAAAUUCCCUCAUGCUGACCGUUUGUGGUCUGUGCCUCCCCCUACACCCCUACACACAUCCCUGGCGAUGCCCCCUCCAUCCCUAAAGUUUUGUCUUUGCAUGAAUAUCAUACAAAUGGAAUCAUCAUACAGUGUGUAACCUUUUGAGGCUGGCUUCUUUCAUUUAGCAUAAUGCAUUUGAAAUUUACCUGAAUCAAUAUUUCAGUUCUUUUUAUUCUUUAUAUUCCAUUUAGUGGUGUGUCACAAUUUAUCCAUUCACCAUUUGAAGGGCAGUCUCUGGCAAUUAUGAGUAAUGCUGCGAUACAUGCCAGCAUACAGAUUCUGUAUCACUUAAACAUUUUUUUCAUUUGGUGGCACAAGAACAGACACUCAGAUCAGUGGAACAGAAUAGAGAACCCAGAAAUGAACCCACAAACGUAUGAUCAACUCAUCUUUGACGAAGCAGGAAGGAAUAUCCAAUGGAAUAAAGACAGUCUCUUCAGCAAGUGGUGCUGAGAAAACUGGACAGCGACAUGCAGAAAAAUGAACCUGGACCACUUUCUUACACCAGACACAAAAAUAAACUCAAAAUGGAUAAAAAAAAGUUUCACUUGGGAGUAGGAUUAUGGGUUUUGGUGCUAUUAGAAAUGGUCCUGUCUGUAAUUCCUUUUUUUUUUUAAAUUUAUUUAUUAAUUUUGAGAGACAGAGCAGGAGGGGCAGAAAGAGAGGGAGAGACAGACAGUCCCAAGCAGGUUCCACACUGUCAGCACGGAGCCCAAUGCGGGCUUGAUCUCAUGAACCGUGAAAUUGUGACCUGAGCCAAAAUCAAGAGUCAGAUGCCCAAUUGACUGAGCCACCCGGGUGCACCUGUAAUUCCUAUUUUUAAUUGUUCACUGCUAGUACAUAAAAAUACACUUAAUUUUUGUAUACUACUUCAUAUUCUGUGACCUAGCUAAAUUUACUUCUUAGUUCUAGAAACUAUCUUGUAGAUUCCUUCUAAGCACUGCUUUACCUGGAAUCCACAAACUUUAAUGUGUUCUAUAUUUUAUCAUUCAGUUCAAAAUAUUUUCUGAUUUUUCUCAUUACUUCUUUGACUCAUAGGUUAUUUAGAAGUGUCCUUUCUUAUUUCACAAUGUUUUGGUAUAUUCCAGAUACCUUACUGUAAUUGAUUAUUAGCUUCAUUUCAUUAUAAUUAGGAAAUGUACUUUGCAAAAUUUUAGUUAUUUCAAGUUUGUUGAUGUUUGUUUUAUGAUCCCCCAGAAUGGCCUAUUUUGAUGAAUGUCCCAUGUGCACCUAAAAAGAUUGUGUAUUCUAUUGUUUUGGAUGGAAUGUUUUCCAAAUCUCAAUUAGAUGAAGUUGAUUUAUAAUGUUCAGGUUUUGUAUAUUUUGCUGAUUUUCUGCACUAGAAAUUAUUGAUUAUUGAGAGAAGACUGCUGACAUCUCCAGGAAUAAUUGUGAAUUUUCUUCUUAAUUCCAUCAUGAUUUGCUCCAUGGAUUUUGAAGCUCUUUUGUUGUGCAUGCACAUUCAGGAAUUGUAUAUCUUCUUGGUAAAUUGAUUCUUUUAUUAUAAUGUCCUUUUGGAUCCCCUUUUUAUUGUUUCUUUUUCUGAAAUCUACUUUGUCUAUAUUAAUGUAGCCCCUCUAGUUUCUUUUGACUAGUAUUUUCAUAGUGUAUCUCUUUUUAUCUUUUUGCUCUUAACCUAAGUCAUUAUAUUUGUUUAAAUAUAGAA